AGUGAACGCUGGCGGCAGGCCUAACACAUGCAAGUCGAACGGCAGCACAGUAAGCGCUCGUUCCUACGGGUGGCGACUGGCGGGUGGGUGAGGAAUACAUCAGCAUCCACUUUGUCUGGGGGGACAACGUAGGGAAACAUACGCUAAUACCUCAUACUACCAACGGGUGAAAUCACGAGAUCUUCGGACUUUGGGCGAGUCAAUGAGCCGAUGUCGGAUUAGCUAGUUGGCGGGGUAAAGGCCCACCAAGGCGACGCUACGUAGCUGGUCUGAGAGGAUGAUCGGCCACACUGGAACUGAGACACGGUCCAGACUCCUACGGGAGGCAGCAGUGGGGAAUCUUGGACAAUGGGCGCAAGCCUGAUCCAGCCAUGCCGCGUGAGUGAAGAAGGCCUUCGGGUUGUAAAGCUCUUUUGUUAGGAAAGAAAAGCUGCGGGUUAAUACGCCGCUGUUCUGACGGUACCCAAAGAAUAAGCACCGGCUAACUUCGUG
Molecule: ribosomal RNA, 492 nt
Filed under: uncultured bacterium
Lineage: Bacteria
Description: partial 16S ribosomal RNA
Rfam family: Bacterial small subunit ribosomal RNA
Source: RNAcentral